AUAUUCUGCAAUGCAUACAGGAAAGUGGCUGCUGAACUUUGCCAAUAUAAGGGCCUGCUGCUGUUGCUUCUUUCAUGUGUUGGUCUUCUGCUUUUCCUGGAAAUCCAAUCCUUUGUUCAUCAGCCAGAACAUCAGAUGAACACCCCUCAUCUCAAGACCACUGGAUCAGAAUUACUAACAGUCUACAGAUUUCACUCUUCCCACCUAUACUUCAAAACAUGUACCUCAUGGGCUUUAACACUAUAGGCUCUUUACAACUUUCUGUUCAGCAUCCCAAAUAAGGCCUUUAUUCAUGGUCUCGUGUUAUAUCAGCCCUUGUAAAUGAUUAAUGUACGUAUUUUAUUAUCACACAAUUCUAAUGGAUGAAAUGUAUUUGGGAAAAUAAGAAAUGGUGAUGGUGAUAUGGGUCUCUCCCUGCUCUCCGCUGUCCUCAGUAAGUCACCUCUAGCUAUAGGGAGUCAAGCUGAAGAUCUGCUUCAUUUUCAUUACAGGCCAGGGUUAUGUACACAGUCAAGGGUGUUCUCUGUCAUAACCUUUUCUACAAAUUUAUUUUUCUGCUACGUGGUGUCAGGGUCCUCAAGAAGUCCCACAGAAAACCACUAUCCACGUAUGUAAUCAGCAAGAGCAUUAUAUUGAGAGAAAAGAUUCCAGCAUGCUGGGGCCACACGUCUAGCACAAAGGCAAAUUAGAGACCCUGAGAAGAGCACACAGGCUCCUUUAAGCACAGCUAGGGGGAGUUUCAGGGACAGUUAGGUCAUCUCAAACAUAUUUGGUUAAGCAAGUAUCAGUUACACUAGUACAUUUAAUAUUGGCUAGGGCUUCAGGGGCUGAAUUGGGUUAGAGUUUUUCCAUCUUUGGGCAUGUGUGGACAAGUCUCAGGGCCUGUUCCAAUUUUUUCAUUACCUUAAGGUAUUGUGGAGGCUGGCUCAGGCCUGGUAUGUGUUAACUCUCUCAUUGUCCUUUUAGGAAACUGAAACUCAGGCCCAGUUGAAAAAUGAGGUAAUGUUCAGACAUUUCACCUGGAAUCAAGAAACAAUAAUAUUUAUACACAAUACUAAGUCUUUGGGUACAUCUGAAGAUGCCUUUAAUACUUAUUUUCUUGUUGCCUUUUUAAAAUUCUGGGAGCUUUUGAUAGAAUGAUGAAGCUCACAGGCUAGGAAAGAACUGUCAGUAAGUUACCCACCCACAACCUAGGAUCUUUUAUUUUAAACAUUUCCUGAUCUAAGAGCCUUAUCUUCUGCCUCAGUGACACCAGAUGCUUAUACAGCUACCAUGCAUGAAAUAAUGUGCUUCUGAUGACUCAACCUAUCACACCCAAUCAUACCAGAAGCCUCGUGCUCCCACAGGUGAUGACAAAAAGGCAAUAUGAACUUCUCCCGGAGCUAAAUGAUUGCCCUUUCCCCUGCACCCAUUUGGAUAAUCAAAGCUGCAAAAUACUGAGGGCUGACUAUGGAGAGAUACUUCUGAGAGAACUGGUACAGGGGAGGGGGGCAAACCAGACUCUCCUAGUAGCCUGAAAGAAAUCUAAGCCUUAGUUUCAGUUCACUAGAAUGGGACAGAGGUCUCAGGAAAACCACAACUUAUGGGUAACCAUCAUCAAGCAUCCCCACAACCCUUCUUCUAGCUCAGCAGACCCCCAAAGUCCUUCUUCUGGCUUAACCCCUCAAAGCCUUUCUGUUAGCUCAGCAGAUGCCCCCAGACUUCUGCAAGCUAAAGAUAGCUUCCCCUACCCAGCCACCGGAAAGUAUCUCUCCACUAGGCCUCCCACCAGUCAGCUUUCACCAAUCAGCUUCCAGACUAAUCUUUUCUCCGCCAAUCAACCCCAGAUUAAUCCCUCCUCUCUGGAAUUCCCCUAACUCUGCUUAAAAGAAGCUUGUGACCUUCCUUGGGUGUCACCAAGAGCCACCCUAAUGUUGAAAAUCAUAAAGAAAUCUUUUUUUAUUGCACACAUGGCUGGCUGUUGGUCUUCUUUGGGUGAUUCUCUCUGACCCUAACAAUUCUGGACCUCAAUUUUUUUUGGAUUUUUGAGCAAGAAUUCCACUGUAUAACAGCUCUAGAUGGCCUAGAUCUCACUCAGUAGACCAGACUGGCCUUGAACUCACAGAGAUCCGAGUGUUGGGAGUAAAGUCAUGCACCACUACCAUCUGACAUCUGGACAUCAAUUUAAAAACUUUCAUGAGAUCCACAUUCAUGUUUUUCAAGGUGAGAGGAUUUUUUUCUUUUAUGAAACAGUGUCUUGUAGCUCAGAGGGCCUCAACCUUGAUGUAAAGCAGAGGAUUACAUCCAAUAUUUGAUAUUCCUGCCUCCAUCUCUAUGGUGCUGAUUUCAGGUGUGUAUCAGUAUCCUAGUUUAUUGCUAUGCAUUCAAGGGUUUUCUGAAUACUAGGCAAGCACUAUAACAAUUAAGCCACACUCACAGUGUAGGGUAAAAGGGCCAAAGAAAGAACACCCUGACGCCCUCUUGACCCCAAGACCAGAACCAAAGGAAAAACACCCUGAUCCUGACUUGACCCUCAUACCAGGGCCAAGGAAAAAACUCUCUGACCCUGAUUUGACCCCAAACCAAGACCAGGGCCAAG
Non-coding RNA from Myodes glareolus (Bank vole), 2578 nucleotides. Lineage: Eukaryota; Metazoa; Chordata; Mammalia; Rodentia; Cricetidae. The record is from RefSeq and is a predicted model, not a curated record.